UAAGGAAUAUUGCGCAAUGGGCGACAGCCUGACGCAGCGACGCCGCGUGGGGGAUGAAGGUCUUCGGAUUGUAAACCCCUUUCGGCAGGGAAGAUGGAACGGGUAACCGUUCGGACGGUACCUGCAGAAGCAGCCACGGCUAACUUCGUGCCAGCAGCCGCGGUAAUACGAAGGUGGCAAGCGUUGUUCGGAUUUACUGGGCGUACAGGGAGCGUAGGUGGUUAGGUAAGCCCUCCGUGAAAACUCCAGGCUUAACCUGGACAGUGCAGAGGGGACUGCCGGGCUAGAGGACGGGAGAGGAGCGCGGAAUUCCCGGUGUAGCGGUGAAAUGCGUAGAGAUCGGGAAGAACAUCGGUGGCGAAGGCGGCUCGCUGGGCUGUUGCUGACGCUGAGGCGCGAAAGCGUGGGGAGCAAACAGGAUUAGAUACCCAUGUAGUCCCUGAGCGGGCUGGCAAGGCGCAU
RNAcentral lists this ribosomal RNA (462 nucleotides) under uncultured bacterium. RNAcentral describes it as "bacterial SSU rRNA". It matches the Rfam family "Bacterial small subunit ribosomal RNA", at positions 355 to 825 of the family's 1533-position model. The record is from RNAcentral.